Molecule: ribosomal RNA, 1306 nt
Filed under: metagenome
Description: bacterial SSU rRNA
Rfam family: Bacterial small subunit ribosomal RNA
Source: RNAcentral
AGAGUUUGAUCCUGGCUCAGAUUGAACGCUGGCGGCAUGCCUUACACAUGCAAGUCGAACGGUAACGCGGGGGCAACCCUGGCGACGAGUGGCGAACGGGUGAGUAAUACAUCGGAACAUAUCCAGUAGCGGGGGAUAACCUAUCGAAAGAUGGACUAAUACCGCAUACGAUCUACGGAUGAAAGCAGGGGACCGCAAGGCCUUGCACUAUUGGAGUGGCCGAUGUCGGAUUAGCUAGUUGGUGAGGUAAAGGCUUACCAAGGCGACGAGCCGUAGCUGGUCUGAGAGGACGAUCAGCCACACUGGAACUGAGACACGGUCCAGACUCCUACGGGAGGCAGCAGUGGGGAAUUUUGGACAAUGGGCGCAAGCCUGAUCCAGCCAUGCCGCGUGAGUGAAGAAGGCCUUCGGGUUGUAAAGCUCUUUCGGUGAAGACGAAACGGUUAGCGCUAAUAACGCUGACUAAUGACGGUACUCACAGAAGAAGCACCGGCUAACUACGUGCCAGCAGCCGCGGUAAUACGUAGGGUGCAGGCGUUAAUCGGAAUUACUGGGCGUAAAGCGUGCGCAGGCGGUUUGCUAAGACAGGUGUGAAAUCCCCGAGCUUAACUUGGGAAUUGCGCUUGUAACUGGCAAGCUAGAGUGUGGCAGAGGGGGGUGGAAUUCCACGUGUAGCAGUGAAAUGCGUAGAUAUGUGGAGGAACACCGAUGGCGAAGGCAGCCCCCUGGGUUAACACUGACGCUCAUGCACGAAAGCGUGGGGAGCAAACAGGAUUAGAUACCCUGGUAGUCCACGCCCUAAACUAUGUCAACUAGUUGUCGGGGAAGAAAUUCCUUGGUAACGAAGCUAACGCGUGAAGUUGACCGCCUGGGGAGUACGGCCGCAAGGUUAAAACUCAAAGGAAUUGACGGGGACCCGCACAAGCGGUGGAUUAUGUGGAUUAAUUCGAUGCAACGCGAAAAACCUUACCUACCCUUGACAUGCUAGGAAGCCCGCAGAGAUGUGGGUGUGCCCGAAAGGGAACCUAGACACAGGUGCUGCAUGGCUGUCGUCAGCUCGUGUCGUGAGAUGUUGGGUUAAGUCCCGCAACGAGCGCAACCCUUGCCAUUAGUUGCUACAUUCAGUUGGGCACUCUAAUGGGACCGCCGGUGACAAACCGGAGGAAGGUGGGGAUGACGUCAAGUCCUCAUGGCCCUUAUGGGUAGGGCUUCACACGUAAUACAAUGGUCGGUACAGAGGGCUGCCAACCCGCAAGGGGGAGCUAAUCCCAGAAAGCCGAUCGUAGUCCGGAUUGUAGUCUGCAAC